GGCGCCGUGGCCAAGUGGUAAGGCAGAGGUCUGCAAAACCUCCAUUCGCCGGUUCGAAUCCGGCCGGCGCCUCCA
This 75-nucleotide transfer RNA is filed under the name Acidobacteriota bacterium. RNAcentral describes it as "tRNA-Cys". It matches the Rfam family "tRNA". Rfam says of the family: Transfer RNA (tRNA) molecules are approximately 80 nucleotides in length. Their secondary structure includes four short double-helical elements and three loops (D, anti-codon, and T loops). Further hydrogen bonds mediate the characteristic L-shaped molecular structure. tRNAs have two regions of fundamental functional importance: the anti-codon, which is responsible for specific mRNA codon recognition, and the 3' end, to which the tRNAs corresponding amino acid is attached (by aminoacyl-tRNA synthetases). tRNAs cope with the degeneracy of the genetic code in two manners: having more than one tRNA (with a specific anti-codon) for a particular amino acid; and 'wobble' base-pairing, i.e. permitting non-standard base-pairing at the 3rd anti-codon position. Lineage: Bacteria; Pseudomonadati; Acidobacteriota. The record is from RNAcentral. RNAcentral also lists the same sequence under 1 other name.